This is a long non-coding RNA of Ornithorhynchus anatinus (platypus), 890 nucleotides long. RefSeq lists it as uncharacterized. The record is from RefSeq and is a predicted model, not a curated record. Lineage: Eukaryota; Metazoa; Chordata; Mammalia; Monotremata; Ornithorhynchidae. The transcript is spliced from 4 exons.
GUGUUCGCCACCCUCUUAGCUCUGAUUGCUGACCCAAUACCUCUCCUGCUCUCCCAUAGAAAAUGGACCAGUAUCUGAAGACCAGUCUAAUCCUGUUGCUGAAUGUUGAGGCGGGAGUGGGGAGAAUGGGAUCAAACACACACACAUCUGCUGGGAUUUCACUUCCCCUCUUGUAAAAUGUGUUUCUGCCCUGCACUGAAAUGUUUCAGCGAAGGGAAUGUGAUGUCGAAGAGUGCUCCUCUCCCACCAAGGGCACUGGAUUCUACCAGAUUGCAAUGGAAUAUUUUUUGAAAGACCGUUGAGAAAUCCCACCUGGUAGGCCAGUGGAAAAUAGAAAGAACAUGGUGGCUGAAACAACUUAAUUGCAAAGUGAAAACUUUUGAUAGUUGGAAGUUAAUCAAGGAAAGAAUACCUUGCAAAGGAUGUCUGAGUCUGAUGGACUACAAGACACAGUCUGGAGUUUCCGUACGAAAACUGGCUCUCGGUCUGUUGAGCAUCAAAGGAUGAUUUUAAAUGGGAAGAAACUGGAGAAGGUCUGUAGUAGAUCACCGGAAAUCUAUUCUAAGUUGGAAAAUAUGACCCAGAAAUGAAUGUUCAUUUAUCAAGUACCUUCCUGGGCAGUGUGAAUUAAAUGUCUGUGAUCAAGCUGAAAAAGAAACAAAGAAUCCCUCCUGAAAAUCUCCAAAUUGGAAUAUUUGGAGUCCAGAAACUCACCACUCUUAAUGAAUGCAAUCGUAACCAUUCAAGCUACUUGUGAUUCCUUUGCCCCAGAUUGAAAAGAUGCUCUUUACAGCGUUAACGCAGGAGGCUUUCCCGACAGGACAUUGACGUCCCCCAAAUGGCACCGUCGGAAUACUUAACAUUGAGUUUGAAUAUGGAUACCAUUUUUU